UAUUGCGGUUGCUAAUAAUUAAAUUAUCAUUGCUAAUAGUUUUAGUAACAGUAAGAUUUUUGAUCGAUUUUGUGGUGGCUAAAAGGUAUUAUUAGCAAUGAAAUUUUUUUCUUUCACUAAUACCAUCGUUAAUAUUCAAUAUUCUUAUAGUACAUCAAUUAUUCCACAUCAAUCUCUUGUCAACGUGUCACUACAUCUAUGUACGGUUAUCUGACAGCCAUCAUAUAGCUCAACUGUAACUGUCUUUCAGUUAUAUUCCAGCUUAUUAGCCACAUGGACAACUGCCCCA
RNAcentral lists this long non-coding RNA (289 nucleotides) under Elaeis guineensis (African oil palm). RNAcentral's name for it is "long non-coding RNA (EGUI_LNC045930)". The record is from RNAcentral. Lineage: Eukaryota; Viridiplantae; Streptophyta; Magnoliopsida; Arecales; Arecaceae.